UACGUAGGGUGCAAGCGUUGUCCGGAAUUAUUGGGCGUAAAGAGCUCGUAGGCGGCUAGUCGCGUCGGCUGUGAAAACCUGGGGCUCAACCCCGGGCCUGCAGCCGAUACGGGCUAGCUAGAAUUCGGUAGGGGAGACUGGAAUUCCUGGUGUAGCGGUGAAAUGCGCAGAUAUCAGGAGGAACACCGGUGGCGAAGGCGGGUCUCUGGGCCGAUACUGACGCUGAGGAACGAAAGCGUGGGGAGCGAACAGG
RNAcentral lists this ribosomal RNA (253 nucleotides) under uncultured bacterium. RNAcentral's name for it is "partial 16S ribosomal RNA". It matches the Rfam family "Bacterial small subunit ribosomal RNA", at positions 524 to 776 of the family's 1533-position model. The record is from RNAcentral.